This 253-nucleotide ribosomal RNA is filed under the name uncultured bacterium. Its description in RNAcentral is "partial 16S ribosomal RNA". It matches the Rfam family "Bacterial small subunit ribosomal RNA", at positions 524 to 776 of the family's 1533-position model. The record is from RNAcentral.
UACGGGGGGGGCAAGCGUUGUUCGGAAUUACUGGGCGUAAAGGGCUCGUAGGCGGCCAACUAAGUCAGACGUGAAAUCCCUCGGCUUAACCGGGGAACUGCGUCUGAUACUGGGUGGCUUGAAUCCGGGAGAGGGAUGCGGAAUUCCAGGUGUAGCGGUGAAAUGCGUAGAUAUCUGGAGGAACACCGGUGGCGAAGGCGGCAUCCUGGACCGGUAUUGACGCUGAGGUGCGAAAGCGUGGGGAGCAAACAGG